RNAcentral lists this non-coding RNA (29 nucleotides) under Mus musculus (house mouse). The record is from RNAcentral. Lineage: Eukaryota; Metazoa; Chordata; Mammalia; Rodentia; Muridae.
UGAGACAUUCGCCACAGGCCAGAAAGUAU